GACGAACGCUGGCGGCGUGCUUAACACAUGCAAGUCGAACGGAAAGGCCCUGCUUUUGUGGGGUGCUCGAGUGGCGAACGGGUGAGUAACACGUGAGUAACCUGCUCUUGACUUUGGGAUAACUUCAGGAAACUGGGGCUAAUACCGGAUAGGAGCUCCUGCUGCAUGGUGGGGGUUGGAAAGUUUCGGCGGUUGGGGAUGGACUCGCGGCUUAUCAGCUUGUUGGUGGGGUAGUGGCUUACCAAGGCUGUGACGGGUCGCCGGCCUGAGAGGGUGGCCGGCCACAUGGGGACUGAGGUACGGCCCAGACGCCUACGGGGGGCAGCGGUGGGGAAUAUUGCACAAUGGGCGGAAGCCUGAUGCAGCAACGCCGCGUGCGGGAUGACGGCCUUCGGGUUGUAAACCGCGUUCGCCUGUGACGAAGCGUGAGUGACGGUAAUGGGUAAAGAAGCACCGGCUAACUACGUG
This 468-nucleotide ribosomal RNA is filed under the name uncultured bacterium. RNAcentral's name for it is "partial 16S ribosomal RNA". It matches the Rfam family "Bacterial small subunit ribosomal RNA", at positions 28 to 507 of the family's 1533-position model. The record is from RNAcentral.